ACCUGUCCCCCUUCGGGAAGAACAAGAACCUUCGACCAAGGUUAGAAUUGAACGCAGCGAAAUAACAAUGCGCGCAGCGCGUUGACCCGCAGGGCAAGGAAUUCAGUGACGAGUCAUCCUUCUCCCACCACCA
RNAcentral lists this small RNA (133 nucleotides) under Xenorhabdus koppenhoeferi. RNAcentral describes it as "RtT sRNA". It matches the Rfam family "RtT RNA". From Rfam's summary of the family: This family represents a bacterial cis-regulatory element known as RtT RNA. Lineage: Bacteria; Pseudomonadati; Pseudomonadota; Gammaproteobacteria; Enterobacterales; Morganellaceae. The record is from RNAcentral.